RNAcentral lists this ribosomal RNA (1025 nucleotides) under Ernakulamia krabiensis. Its description in RNAcentral is "SSU rRNA". It matches the Rfam family "Eukaryotic small subunit ribosomal RNA", at positions 75 to 1105 of the family's 1831-position model. The record is from RNAcentral. Lineage: Eukaryota; Fungi; Ascomycota; Dothideomycetes; Pleosporales; Tetraplosphaeriaceae.
UAUACCGUGAAACUGCGAAUGGCUCAUUAAAUCAGUUAUCGUUUAUUUGAUAGUACCUUACUACUUGGAUAACCCGUGGUAAUUCUAGAGCUAAUACAUGCUAAAAACCCCAACUUCGGGAGGGGUGUAUUUAUUAGAUAAAAAACCAAUGCCCUUUCGGGGCUCUUUGGUGAUUCAUGAUAACUUAACGGAUCGCAUGGCCUUGCGCCGGCGACGGUUCAUUCAAAUUUCUGCCCUAUCAACUUUCGAUGGUAAGGUAUUGGCUUACCAUGGUUUCAACGGGUAACGGGGAAUUAGGGUUCGAUUCCGGAGAGGGAGCCUGAGAAACGGCUACCACAUCCAAGGAAGGCAGCAGGCGCGCAAAUUACCCAAUCCCGACUCGGGGAGGUAGUGACAAUAAAUACUGAUACAGGGCUCUUUUGGGUCUUGUAAUCGGAAUGAGUACAAUUUAAACCCCUUAACGAGGAACAAUUGGAGGGCAAGUCUGGUGCCAGCAGCCGCGGUAAUUCCAGCUCCAAUAGCGUAUAUUAAAGUUGUUGCAGUUAAAAAGCUCGUAGUUGAACCUUGGGCCUGGCUGGCCGGUCCGCCUCACCGCGUGUACUGGUCCGGCCGGGCCUUUCCUUCUGGAGAGCCGCAUGCCCUUCACUGGGUGUGUCGGGGAACCAGGACUUUUACUUUGAAAAAAUUAGAGUGUUCAAAGCAGGCCUUUGCUCGAAUACGUUAGCAUGGAAUAAUAGAAUAGGACGUGCGGUCCUAUUUUGUUGGUUUCUAGGACCGCCGUAAUGAUUAAUAGGGAUAGUCGGGGGCAUCAGUAUUCAAUUGUCAGAGGUGAAAUUCUUGGAUUUAUUGAAGACUAACUACUGCGAAAGCAUUUGCCAAGGAUGUUUUCAUUAAUCAGUGAACGAAAGUUAGGGGAUCGAAGACGAUCAGAUACCGUCGUAGUCUUAACCGUAAACUAUGCCGACUAGGGAUCGGGCGAUGUUUCUAUCUUGACUCGCUCGGCACCUUACGAGAAAUCAUAAGUU